UAUAGUUCCUUGAAAGUAGCUGAUACCUGAAUGAUUUGACCCUUUUCAUUGAUUGAAUGCUUAGUAACUUCUGCCAGAAUGUGUGUGUGUGUGUGUGUGUGUGUGUACACACACACACACACACGCAUGCAUGCAUGUGUGUGCAUGCAUGU
Podarcis lilfordi (Lilford's wall lizard) is the source of this 152-nucleotide non-coding RNA. The record is from the annotation of a GenBank genome assembly. NCBI's taxonomy places the organism in Eukaryota, Metazoa, Chordata, Lepidosauria, Squamata, Lacertidae.